UGACCUACGGGAGGCAGCAGUGGGGAAUAUUGCACAAUGGGGGGAACCCUGAUGCAGCAAUGCCGCGUGAAGGAUGAAGGUUUUCGGAUUGUAAACUUCUUUUGUCAGGGACGAAGCAAGUGACGGUACCUGACGAAUAAGCCACGGCUAACUACGUGCCAGCAGCCGCGGUAAUACGUAGGUGGCAAGCGUUAUCCGGAUUUAUUGGGUGUAAAGGGCGUGUAGGCGGGAAUGCAAGUCAGAUGUGAAAACUAUGGGCUCAACCCAUAGCCGGCAUUUGAAAAUGUAUUUCUUGAGUGCUGGAG
Molecule: ribosomal RNA, 305 nt
Filed under: uncultured bacterium
Lineage: Bacteria
Description: bacterial SSU rRNA
Rfam family: Bacterial small subunit ribosomal RNA
Source: RNAcentral